UAAUAUCUGGUGAUGUCACUCCCUUGUU
RNAcentral lists this non-coding RNA (28 nucleotides) under Rattus norvegicus (Norway rat). The record is from RNAcentral. Lineage: Eukaryota; Metazoa; Chordata; Mammalia; Rodentia; Muridae.